UUUUGUUUGCAGGCUUCUGAAAAAUUGAAGUCAGCUCCCCUGAAAUUCAUUAGUGGUAUCUGAGCAGAGACUACUUACAGGUGUGAUAAUCAUCUAUCUACGCCUCGGUAUGCUGCAUGAAACAGAUUGCACCGCUCAUAACGAGUGAAAUAUUUGACAAGUUUGACCUCAAAUCAGGUAGGACUACCCGCUGAACUUAA
Molecule: unclassified non-coding RNA, 200 nt
Filed under: soil metagenome
Description: partial contains internal transcribed spacer 2 and large subunit ribosomal RNA
Source: RNAcentral